GCGGAGACGCAAGUUUCCGUUCACUCCUCACACCACAUUCCGCCUGAG
Molecule: small RNA, 48 nt
Filed under: Pseudanabaena sp. ABRG5-3
Lineage: Bacteria; Bacillati; Cyanobacteriota; Cyanophyceae; Pseudanabaenales; Pseudanabaenaceae
Description: cyanobacterial functional RNA
Rfam family: Cyanobacterial functional RNA 1
Source: RNAcentral